RNAcentral lists this ribosomal RNA (700 nucleotides) under uncultured bacterium. RNAcentral describes it as "bacterial SSU rRNA". It matches the Rfam family "Bacterial small subunit ribosomal RNA", at positions 223 to 896 of the family's 1533-position model. The record is from RNAcentral.
UGAGCCCCGGGGGCCCCUUUAGCUAGGUUGGGUAGGGGUAACCGGCCCUACCCAAGGCUUAUGAAUGGGGUAGCUGGUUUUGAGAGGGACGAUUCAGCCCACACUGGAAAUUGAGACACCGGUCCCAGACUCCUACGGGAGGCAGCCAGUGGGGAAUAUUGCGCAAUGGGCGAAAGCCUGACGCAGCAACGCCGCGUGGGGGAUGAAGGUUCUCGGAUUGUAAACCCCUUUCGACCGGAACGAAUCUCCUCUUGGUAAAUAAUCAGGAGGAUCGACGGUACCGGGAGAAGAAGCCACGGCUAACUCUGUGCCAGCAGCCGCGGUAAGACAGAGGUGGCGAGCGUUGUUCGGAUUUAUUGGGCGUAAAGCGAACGCAGGCGGUUUGGUAAGUCAGAGGUGAAAGUCCACAGCUUAACUGUGGCACUGCCUUUGAUACUGCCUUUCUUGAGUAGAGUAGGGGGAAGCGGAAUUCCGAGUGUAGAGGUGAAAUUCGUAGAUAUUCGGAGGAACACCGGUGGCGAAGGCGGCUUCCUGGACUCUAACUGACGCUCAUGUUCGAAAGCGUGGGUAGCAAACAGGAUUAGAUACCCUGGUAGUCCACGCCCUAAACGAUGGGCACUAGGUGUGGGAGGUAUCGACCCCUUCCGUGCCGCAGCUAACGCAUUAAGUGCCCCGCCUGGGGAGUACGGCCGCAAGGUUG